Molecule: ribosomal RNA, 384 nt
Filed under: uncultured Eubacterium sp.
Lineage: Bacteria; Bacillati; Bacillota; Clostridia; Eubacteriales; Eubacteriaceae
Description: bacterial SSU rRNA
Rfam family: Bacterial small subunit ribosomal RNA
Source: RNAcentral
UGGGGAAUAUUGCACAAUGGGCGCAAGCCUGAUGCAGCAACGCCGCGUGGAGGAAGACGGUUUUCGGAUUGUAAACUCCUGUUCUUAGCGAAGAAAAAUGACGGUAGCUAAGGAGCAAGCCACGGCUAACUACGUACCAGCAGCCGCGGUAAUACGUAGGUGGCAAGCGUUGUCCGGAAUUACUGGGUGUAAAGGGAGCGCAGGCGGGGAGCAAGUCAGCUGUGAAAUCUAUGGGCUUAACCCAUAAACUGCAGUUGAAACUGUUCUCCUUGAGUGAAGUAGAGGUUGGCGGAAUUCCGAGUGUAGCGGUGAAAUGCGUAGAUAUUCGGAGGAACACCAGUGGCGAAGGCGGAUUGCUGGACGACAACUGACGGUGAGACGCGA